RNAcentral lists this non-coding RNA (24 nucleotides) under Mus musculus (house mouse). Lineage: Eukaryota; Metazoa; Chordata; Mammalia; Rodentia; Muridae. The record is from RNAcentral.
UACAGCGAUGAGGUGCAUCCAUGC